Molecule: ribosomal RNA, 467 nt
Filed under: uncultured bacterium
Lineage: Bacteria
Description: partial 16S ribosomal RNA
Rfam family: Bacterial small subunit ribosomal RNA
Source: RNAcentral
GACGAACGCUGGCGGCGUGCUUAACACAUGCAAGUCGAACGGAAAGGCCCUGCUUUUGUGGGGUGCUCGAGUGGCGAACGGGUGAGUAACACGUGAGUAACCUGCCCUUGACUUUGGGAUAACUUCAGGAAACUGGGCUAAUACCGGAUAGGAGCUCCUGCUGCAUGGUGGGGGUCGGAAAGUUUCGGCGGUUGGGGAUGGACUCGCGGCUUAUCAGCUUGUUGGUGGGGUAGUGGCUUACCAAGGCUUUGACGGGUAGCCGGCCUGAGAGGGUGACCGGCCACAUUGGGACUGAGAUACGGCCCAGACUCCUACGGGAGGCAGCAGUGGGGAAUAUUGCACAAUGGGCGGAAGCCUGAUGCAGCAACGCCGCGUGCGGGAUGACGGCCUUCGGGUUGUAAACCGCUUUCGCCUGUGACGAAGCGUGAGUGACGGUAAUGGGUAAAGAAGCACCGGCUAACUACGUG